Molecule: long non-coding RNA, 243 nt
Filed under: Malus domestica (apple)
Lineage: Eukaryota; Viridiplantae; Streptophyta; Magnoliopsida; Rosales; Rosaceae
Description: long non-coding RNA (MDOM_LNC016987)
Source: RNAcentral
GUUGGAAUGAUGUUGAAGGGUUGGUUAUUUGGAGGAAUGGAUGGGAAGGGGUUUAGAUAUGUAGGAGAGGCAAGGAAAGGCUUGGAGAAUGGUUAAUUUCUGGAUCAUUUGAAUGAGGUUGAUGCCAUGGUAUUUAUAGGAAGAUGAUGGACUUGUUUAACACAAAAUGUUGGUGGAAUUGAGUAGGUGAGCAUGGCAAAGAGUGGGAAUUGUUGGUGGGUUAGGUAUUGAGUCAUCCACUCA